This 314-nucleotide unclassified non-coding RNA is filed under the name plant metagenome. Its description in RNAcentral is "partial contains 5.8S ribosomal RNA, internal transcribed spacer 2, and large subunit ribosomal RNA". The stretch from base 1 to 105 matches the Rfam family "5.8S ribosomal RNA", at positions 50 to 154 of the family's 154-position model. The record is from RNAcentral.
GAAACGCGAUAGUUAAUGUGAAUUGCAGAAUUCAGUGAAUCAUCGAGUCUUUGAACGCACAUUGCGCCCAUAGGUAUUCCUUUGGGCAUGUCUGUUUGAGCGUCAUUACAACCCUCAGCUAACCGCUGGUUUUGAACCUGAACGGGUGACACCGCGCCGGUUGUAAAGUUGUAAGCUCUGCUGGCCGCUCUGCCCAACCAGAACAUAGUAAGCACUACUUGUCCGGGUGAAGCUGAACGGUACGGCCUGAACAAAACCUACCCACUCUCAAGGUUUGACCUCAGAUCAGACAAGGAUACCCGCUGAACUUAAGC